Molecule: unclassified non-coding RNA, 278 nt
Filed under: Hevea brasiliensis (rubber tree)
Lineage: Eukaryota; Viridiplantae; Streptophyta; Magnoliopsida; Malpighiales; Euphorbiaceae
Source: RNAcentral
GAACUUACAAUGUGUAUAAGUUCUAAUUCCUACCCGAAAACUUGCUUGCUUAUCCUAUUUUUGACAAUGAAGACACAGAGCUGCAUUGUUGAUUUCGAACUCCCAUUUGAGUAAUAAUCAUUAAUCUUCUGUAUCAUGAGAGAUAAAAUUACAAAAAUUCUAGCAAAACAUUCACCCUCGUUUGUUUCAGGAAAGAGUUUUGUACAAGGAGCAGUUUCUUUUGAACCUGUUAUCUCUAACUGACGCCCUGCCCCGCUAUGCCAUCUGCUUACCUCAGC